RNAcentral lists this ribosomal RNA (105 nucleotides) under Sinocyclocheilus anshuiensis. Lineage: Eukaryota; Metazoa; Chordata; Actinopteri; Cypriniformes; Cyprinidae. The record is from RNAcentral.
UUCUGUAAUUUUUUUAUUCAUCUAAUUCAUCUAGCGAAGCAGGGCUGAGCCUGGUCAGUACCUGGAUGGGAGACCUCCUGGGAAAAAACUAGGUUGCUGCUGGAA